GUCACAGGCACAAGCAGACAGUCACACAAACAGUUACAAGCAGAAUCAGACACGCUCAGUUACAGGCAGACAGUCACACACACACACACACACACACACACACAGUUACAAGCAGACAGUCACAGAGCCAAACACACAGUUAAAGGCAGAGAGGCACACAGUCACAGGCAGACAGUCACACACACAGUCACAAGCAGACAGUCACACAUACUCCAUUACAAGCAGUCAUACACACUCCGUUACAGGCAUGCAGACACUCACGCACUAUGAUAGGCACACACACACACACUCAGUUAAAGGCAGAUAUUCACACAUACAGGCACAGGCACACACAACGGCACAGCUACAGUGACACACACAAUUGGAGUCACACACAGGCAGACAGUCACACACACACAGGCAGACAGUCUCACACACACACAUAGGCAGACAGACAGCCUCACACACAUACACACAGGCAGGCAGUCACACACAGGCAGGCAGUCACACACACACACACACACAGGCAGACAGUCACACACAGGCAGGCAGUCACACGCAAACACACACACACACACAGGCAAGCAAUCAGACAGUCACACACACACAGGCAGGCAGUCACACACACACACAGGCAGACAGACAGUCACACACACACAUAGGCAGGCAGACACAUGAACAGGCAAACAGUAACACACAGGCAGGCAGUCAACCACACACACAGGCAGACAGUCACACACACACACACACAGGCAGGCAGACACAUGAACAGGCAAACAGUAACACACAGACAGUCACACACACACACACACACACACACACACACACACACACACACACAGAAAGGCAGACACAUGAACAGGCAAACAGUAACACACACACAGACUUACC
Non-coding RNA from Pelobates cultripes (western spadefoot toad), 870 nucleotides. Lineage: Eukaryota; Metazoa; Chordata; Amphibia; Anura; Pelobatidae. The record is from the annotation of a GenBank genome assembly.